GUAAUUUCACAGACAUCAAUGUGUGUUCCUGCCCAGAGUAUAACUACACAGGAGGAAGAUGUCAGCCAGGCACAUACUGCCCCAGUGGUUCAUCAGCUCCUGUACAAUGUACUUCCGGGUCCUACUGUGACAACUAUGAGCUGCCAACUCCCACAGGUCUCUGUUCAGCUGGUUACUACUGUCCUGGUGGUAACAAGGUACAGAAUCCAACACAAUAUUUGUGUACCGAGGGCGCAUACUGUGAACAAGGAUCGCCUCUGCCAACACCUUGUCCAAACGGGACUUUCUCCAACACCACUGGGAAUGUGGAGCUGGCAAAUUGUCUGAAUUGUACUCCAGGUUACUACUGUAAUGGUGUAGGACUGACCAGCGUGUCUGGACCUUGUGCCGAUGGUUUCUACUGUCCAGGUGGCCAAAGUACAGCCACACCAGAUGAGUUCAGAUGUCCACAAGGAUCAGAAUGUCCAUCUG
Long non-coding RNA from Lingula anatina, 471 nucleotides. Lineage: Eukaryota; Metazoa; Brachiopoda; Lingulata; Lingulida; Lingulidae. The record is from RefSeq and is a predicted model, not a curated record.